CUCAGCAGCUACAUAUUGAGGAAAAUGGAUGAAGAAGAUAUAAAGCCUAAAAUCAAGAAUUUGCCUAGUGAAAAUGGCAAAUUGAAGAGGAAGAUGUGUGCGCACAU
This is a long non-coding RNA of Ipomoea nil (Japanese morning glory), 107 nucleotides long. RefSeq lists it as uncharacterized. The transcript has 3 exons. Lineage: Eukaryota; Viridiplantae; Streptophyta; Magnoliopsida; Solanales; Convolvulaceae. The record is from RefSeq and is a predicted model, not a curated record.